Molecule: long non-coding RNA, 3380 nt
Organism: Pleuronectes platessa (European plaice)
Lineage: Eukaryota; Metazoa; Chordata; Actinopteri; Pleuronectiformes; Pleuronectidae
Exons: 3
Source: RefSeq, a predicted model, not a curated record
GCUCUCCCCUCGCUCCCACACUUGAGCUCCAGCUUAAUGAGGGCUGAGGCAUUGGAACCUCCCCCAGUAGUGCCUUCUGUGAGAUGCAGUCCUCCCGGCAGCCGUCUUUUGGCGUGGUAGCCACUCCCAGGACUUUGGUGGAGAUUUGGUCCAAGUUGCAGGCCAAAGAUCCCUAUCAUCUGGUCCCUGUUCAUCUGACAGAGAGUGGGUCCAUCCAUGGAGCAGCAGGCCAGACUAAGAUUGCUUGCAUCAAACUUGUUGUUCUCUACUUGGUCACUGAUCCACUCCAGAGCAUUGUCUGCUGUCCAGCAGUGAGGGCUGAUUUGCAUGUACCACUCAUCUGCAGAGAGAAAUGGAGGAAUCACAUGCUACUCUUUAAAGAUUGGGGGACGGACUCAGGUGAGUUCAGGGGAAUUCCACCUGAAACUGGCCACACCUUCAUCCCGGUUGCCUCCUCCUCUGCUUUUCUGAGAACUUGAUCAACAAAACAAACCUGCUUUUCUCUCUGUUGUCUCUGUAUCUUUUAAACCAUCAACUAGAGUGAUAUUAUAGUUGUAUUUGAGUCAACUAGCUUUUAUGGCUUGGUGUAAAAAAACAAAACUAUUGAAUGAAAUAGGAGUAAUGUGUAAUGUGUUAGAGUAACUUUACUUGGCACAGAAAUUGUGAAAGUAGUUACAACUACUAGUUUCUAUUAUCUUCAGAAAAUUAUAAUGUAUAGUGUGUCAUAGUUUCCUAUCUUUUUUCUCAUUCUCUCAAAGGUGUGUGUGUGUGUGUGUGUGUGUGUGUGUGUGUGUGUGUGUGUGUGUGUGUGUGUGUGUGUGUGUGUGUGUGUGUGUUAGACGACAAGGUGUCACUUUUGUGGACAGUUUUAUCAGUCAACAGCCAAACUAAGAAAAGCUGACGUGUCUACCAGGCUUUUUUGUUACACUGCACUCAGUUACCCCCUAAUAUGUAACCAACUUUAUCUGUGUCUGUGAUGUUAUUCUGUAUUACUAGUUAAUGAGCCGAGGACAAAACACAGAUUGUACAGAUUUAUUUAAAAACAGCUUCCUAAAGCAUUCUCUGUUCCCUGCCUUUGUGUAGAGCUUAAACUAUGAUGCAAAAGAAAAAAGUCAUAAAUACCCCACACUUUCUAUCUGCGUGUGUUUGCAUGUCACUGUUGAUGUCACUUGUAAAGCCCAUCUACAUCUUUAUAAAAAAACACACAGAGGCUCUUUUUGUACUCUCAAAAUACUACAACACGUACUUUGAUCUUCCAGUGAAAAGAUUUUUCUGUUUUUCAAAGAUUAGCGAUGCAACUAACAGCCAGGAAAGAAGCUGAAAAGAAAACACAUUCGAUGAUGUAGGCACAUUUUUCCUAUAAUCCAAUAAAAAAAUGGCAUUUGGAAUUUGUUUUAGACAGUUAUUACUUUUCUCCCAAAUUUUCACGACAUCACUCACGCCCUGUUUCCACAAUGUGGUGGAGGAAAAGCUUAGUGUGGAAUGCAGCCAUGCAGGUUUUUGCUUCCUGACGGGUUACUAGCUCUUAUGGCCUGGGGACUAACAGGAACAUUUCCUCACUUGUGACUCAUGCCAUUUUCCCCCGCCUUCAUUACUCUUAUACACCUGGGCUGUUCCUAAAUGUCGGUACUUUCCACAGACAAAAUUAAAGUUUAGAAACUAGUGACGAGAAAAGGUGUAGAGAUUAAUCAUAACAGAAAUGUUUUUUUAAAUAUUGUUUACAUACAAUUAACAACUGAAGAUUAAAGUUGUGUUACUGAUAUCUGUUAUGUAUUCACCUAUGCCACCGUAGCCAAUGCAUUACCUAUCUACAAAAGAGGAAAAGGGGACAUAAAACACAGAAGUAAUGAGUAAGCAUGAGAAGUAAAAAGUGUCGCGUUAGAAUGGUUUGAUAUUUGUGCAUACAUUGUUCAGUUAUUUUGCUUGUGUGCGCAUACACACACACACACCAAAUAAAAAAGAUCUACAAAGAGAGGAGCAACAGUCCUACUUCACAUAAGAACACAAGUUUAACCUUUCUGGACACUAGGUGGUCCAAUACACACUCUUAAAUAACGUGGAACAUCAAUAUUUAGAAAACAUAUUAUAAAGUUUUAUAAACACAUUAUGACUCACCUGUGGUAAAUCACAAAUGAGAAUCACCUGUGAUAAAUUGUCUGUGCCCAUGUGACAUGAAUUAGCCAAUGAAUGGUAAAUGGUUUUGUAUUUAUAUAGUGCUUUUCUAGUCUUGAUGACCACUCAAAGCGCUUUACAGUACAGUUUUACAUUCACCCAUUCACACACACAUUCAUACAGUGCACUUUGUUAUUCUAUGGGGGGCCAUUCAGGGUUCAGCAUCUUGCCCAAGGACACUUCGGCAUGCAGAUGGGUCAGACUGGGGAUCGAACCGCCGACCUUCAGGUUGGAGGACGACCACUCUACCCCUCAGCCAAAGCCGCCCGCAAUGAAUAAUGACUUCCGUGUUUUAAAAAGCCACCUGUUAUUCCCUGUUCCUUUGUCACAAUGGUGAAGACAAAGGAGCUGUCUGAGGACAUUAGAAGGGCUAUUAUUAUCAUACACAAGACCUCCAAAGGGUAUAAGGCCAUCUCCAAAGACCUUUGUAUCCCUUUUUCAACAGUGCGUAAGUAUGCCAAGCAUGGAACUGUCAAGAACCUUCCUGGACGUGGGGGGAAGAGAAAAAUUUAUGAGAGAAGUCUUCGAAUGUUGGUGCGAAUGGUGAGAAAAAAUACCCUAACCCUAACCCAUGUCAAAGAUCCAAAGACCUGAAGGCCAACCUGGAACAGUCUGGGGUCAUGGUUUCAAAAAAGUACUACACAACGCACACUAAACCAAACAGGGCUUUAUGGGCGAAGGCCAAGGAGGACACCCUUGCUGAGUAAAAUACAUAAAUGGAGCACCUGGACAAACCGCAGUUCUUCUGGGAAAAUGUUCUCUGGAAAGAUGAAACAAAAAUGGAGCUUUUUGGCGAUGUAGACCACAGUUUGUUAACAGUCUGCGCAAUGAAGCCUAGAAGGAAAAGAACACCCUACCAAGUUAAGCAUGGUGGAGGAUCCAUAAUGCUGUUGGCUGCUUUGCUGCAACUGGUACUGGAGGCCUUGACCGUAUCACAGGAAUCAUGAAAUCAGAGAAUUAUCAAGAGAUUUUAGAGAGAAAUGUCCUACCCAGUGUAAGAAAACUUGGUUUGAGUCGAAGAUAAUGGGUCCUACAGCAAGACAAAGAUCAAAAUUACACGUCCAAAAGCACGCAUGAAUGGUGGAAAAGGAAAAAAUUGACUGUUUUAAAAUGGCGCGCAAUGAGUCCUGAUCUCAAUCCGAUUGAAAAUCUUUGGGGAGCCAUUCCUGGACCAUCUUGCUCAAUUUGAUGGAGAUCUAGAGCAGCUA